UAUAAUAACAAAAUUUUUAUAUUCUUCGUCAAAAAAUAUUCUACUACUUGUUUCUAUGCACUAAGUGUCAUGCGUCGUAUUAUUUUCACAAGAAAAUUUUUUUUAUGGCCAAACAUUUUAUUUGAUAGAAAAAAUAAAAAGCCUCAGAUUUCUUUUGUAUGAAUAUCCAGGAGGUAAACGUGGAGUUUUAUUGGAGAUCAAGUUUGUCUUAUGAAUCGGAUAUUUAGUAUUAUUAAAUUUAAUGAAAUAAAACAAUAUUCAAUUCUUCUCAUUUUGCUUUUUCUUCUACCAAUUUUAUUGGUUUUUUUUUUAUUUAUAAUCUGUUGGUUUUUUUAUGGGAGCUAUAUCAAUCCUUAUAGCCAAAGAAAAUUAGAAUACAUUGAAGAACGACUGGCUCGAGAAGCAGAUGCUAUAGAGUGUGAUAUAGAAAUGAUGCUGUUUUCCAGGAGUAAUCGUAUAACACAUGAUAAAACUCAUAUACGAUAAGGAAAUCGUUCUUGUGAAGAUAUUGAAUGAAGAAGUUUUUUUUUAUUGAAUUUUACCCUCGUGCAUUUUUAUUAUUUCCAACCUAGUUCUGGUUUUGUACAAGUCUGACAAAUGAAAACUUACAUUUUUAUUUGAGUGUAUUUUAUAUUCAAAAUACUGUGUUUGUUUUAUGGGUCAAUUCGUUUUUAACAUUCCUUUCAAGUAACAUGGAGAAGCAAACUGUUUUCUAAUGUUUGAUGAAAUGGGGUAAUAUUUCUGUUAUUAACAAAUUAAAAGAAUAAAUCGUACAAGAUGCUAAGAGAUUUCCAAAUACCAACAGUUUCCAUUUCCCUUAAAUAAACAUUGGCUGGAUAAUUCUUAUUUUGGACAUACUAUUUUAAUUCAACUAAAUAUGUACGACAUACUUUGUUGAUAAAAAGUCUCUUGUACAAAAUUUUCUAGAACUCUGUUUUAUCCCCCCAACCUAUAUAAAAACGGUAUAACAGAAGGGCGACUACAAGAAACAACCGCAAUGUUGCCUAUCUUUUGAAGGGGUGCCGUUAGAAUUGUCUUAGCCAAAAACUACUUUUUAUUUCAAUCUUAUCAAUGAAGAAGAACGUCUUAGUAAAAUUAUUCAAUCACAGAAGUAACCUAAAAUAGAAACUGACGAUAAAAAUGUUGCUUGUUAUUCGUUAAACAACUGGUUGUGAACCCGGUUGUUUUACGGGUGAUUUCUUUUUUUUUGACGUGCACUUUCCAUAUAUUAAUUUUUUUUACAAGGAGUAACAUUCUUUUGAAUUAAAAUGUUUCAAGUGCUUUUACUGUAUUGAUUGCAUAAACAAGUUUUCACCCCUGGACGAAAAAUGUUUAUGCAAAUAGCAUUGAUUUAAGUGAUGGUAAUAGAUAAGCAUUUUUUUUAAUAGAGCGUUUUAUCAUUGAGAACCUUGCCAAAGACAAAGCGU
Long non-coding RNA from Hylaeus volcanicus, 1427 nucleotides. RefSeq lists it as uncharacterized. NCBI's taxonomy places the organism in Eukaryota, Metazoa, Arthropoda, Insecta, Hymenoptera, Colletidae. The transcript is spliced from 3 exons. The record is from RefSeq and is a predicted model, not a curated record.